Molecule: ribosomal RNA, 498 nt
Filed under: uncultured bacterium
Lineage: Bacteria
Description: partial 16S ribosomal RNA
Rfam family: Bacterial small subunit ribosomal RNA
Source: RNAcentral
GAUGAACGCUGGCGGCGUGCCUAAUACAUGCAAGUCGAACGAACAGACCUUGAGUUUUCUUCUUGGACGACAGCGGCGGACGGGUGAGGAACACGUGGAUAACCUACCUGUAAGACUGGGAAAACUUGGGGAAAUAGCAGCUGAUACCGGAAAAUAUAUUGAACCGCAUGGUUCAAUAGUGAUAGACUUUUUUGCUGUCGCUUAUAGAUGGGUCCGCGCCUGAUUAGCUAGUUGGUAGGGUAACGGCCUACCAAGGCGACGAUUGGUAGCCGAACUGAGAGGAGGAACGGCCACAUCGGGACUGAGACACGGCCCAGACUCCUACGGGAGGCAGCAGUGGGGAAUCCUCCGCAAUGGGCGAAAGGCUGACGGAGCAAUGCCGCGGGAGUGAUGAAGGAAUUCGGUCCGUAAAGAUCUUUUGUUUAGGACGAAUGUGCAGAUUGUAAAUAAUAAUCUGUAAUGACGGUAGUAAACGAAUAAGCCACGGCUAACUACGUG